Molecule: ribosomal RNA, 427 nt
Filed under: uncultured bacterium
Lineage: Bacteria
Description: partial 16S ribosomal RNA
Rfam family: Bacterial small subunit ribosomal RNA
Source: RNAcentral
UGGGGAAUAUUGCACAAUGGGCGCAAGCCUGAUGCAGCCAUGCCGCGUGUAUGAAGAAGGCCUUCGGGUUGUAAAGUACUUUCAGCGAGGAGGAAGGCAUUAAGGUUAAUAACCUUGGUGAUUGACGUUACUCGCAGAAGAAGCACCGGCUAACUCCGUGCCAGCAGCCGCGGUAAUACGGAGGGUGCAAGCGUUAAUCGGAAUUACUGGGCGUAAAGCGCACGCAGGCGGUUUGUCAAGUCGGAUGUGAAAUCCCCGGGCUCAACCUGGGAACUGCAUUCGAAACUGGCAGGCUAGAGUCUUGUAGAGGGGGGUAGAAUUCCAGGUGUAGCGGUGAAAUGCGUAGAGAUCUGGAGGAAUACCGGUGGCGAAGGCGGCCCCCUGGACAAAGACUGACGCUCAGGUGCGAAAGCGUGGGGAGCAAACA